GAUUACAAACCAAAUAAAGGAAGGAGAAGAAGACUUAACGACAUUGUCAACUUUAACGGUUCAUUUACGGAUAGAUGUUUGGUAGGGCAACUUAGUGACAGAAUCUUGACCUGACAACCGUUACAGUUACGUCCAAGUCUCCGUUAAACAUUGACCGCCGCACUGAAGGCUGAAGCACGUGGCCACGAACACUAAGGUCCGUUCAUAUAUUUGUUUGUAAAGAUUUUUUAAUUAGUUGGGGAUGGGUGUAUUAUUUUUCUUUUCCCUCUGCGGAAUUGUGUAAAACUUUUAUUCCCGUGAAUGCCGCCGUGCGGUGAGUCUGAUUUUAUUUGACAGAGACUUAAAAGG
This 348-nucleotide long non-coding RNA is filed under the name Panax ginseng (ginseng). RNAcentral describes it as "long non-coding RNA (PGIN_LNC010525)". Lineage: Eukaryota; Viridiplantae; Streptophyta; Magnoliopsida; Apiales; Araliaceae. The record is from RNAcentral.